This is a long non-coding RNA of Cyprinus carpio carpio, 1207 nucleotides long. The record is from Ensembl. Lineage: Eukaryota; Metazoa; Chordata; Actinopteri; Cypriniformes; Cyprinidae.
CCCACCCAUCUUAAAGCAGAGAUUUACAAGACCCUCAUACGGUCAGUCACACUUCACAGUUCAGAGUGUUGGCCUGCAUCCGCCAAACACCAGCAGUCUGGACCAUGUCAGGAAUGAAGACGUGCAGAAAGUACUGGGAAUGGCUCCAAUCAUAGAGAAGAUGAAAGAAGCACAUCUUUAUUGGGACAGCCAUGUCGUUCACAGCGGAGAAGAAUCAAGUGAUAGACAGCAUUGUGCCUUAGCCCAGAUGGAUGGCGACCACAUGUUUGACCAAAGAAGAGAUGAAUGGACUGAGAAAAAAAAGAAAAGAAAAUAUGAAACAAGUCAACACAGCCCCCGACGAUGCCCUAGACUGGAAGAAGUGGAAAGCGAAAUGCCAAUAAGCAGACCUUGCAACAGUGCAGGUUCCACAGCCGAUCGCUGUGAACGAUGUUCCUGUGGGAUCUCCACACCCACAGCCUCUACAGAAGCGAGCAUGCAUCCCAGCGGCCUACUCCUCCAUCCUCUGCGUCUCCUGGGCUACGAGACUGCUGGAGCCUGAAGCUGCCCACCCUCCUGCACCUUUAACCCUCCAAACAACCACAAACACUGACUCACUGAAGACUCCUCAUGCCUUCCAACAAACCACAAACCUCCACACUUCGUGAUUUUAACAGCUUCUGAUCGAGGAAUUAAAGGAGCUGUGGAGCAGAAUCAAAGAAUUUCUGAGCACACUAGUUAGAGUGUCCAGUGGAGCCUGCGUGAGGAGCUGUGCAGAUGGAGAUUGUCCCAGUGCUGGAGGGGGUCUAUAUAAAAACUUUGGCCUGUCUUUCACAGCAUCAAUUCUCUCCACAUGGCCACAAAACUUGACUUUGCGUCUUGGACAAAGGAUUUCAUCUUGAAGAAAACAGACACACGGGUUUAGAACGACCUGACGCGUACCGCAGCGCUGCACUUCGGGUCAAUAACUCAAGCCUCGGGCCUCGCUCUGCAGGAAGGCCAGCGCACAUUACCUCCCUAUUACUCCCCCACUUACAAUUACCAUUAAUGACUUUCUCCCGCUGACAAGCGAUCUCUCACUCCUUCCGCAGUCUGCUGCACUGUGCUGUGGGGACUGUGGGAAAUCCCAGGUUCAUCAUGCUGGAAAAAGACUGGACCUACAGUAACAAUUCACUUGUUGGUCUCAGACUACAGUCUCACCUUUCAUAGACCAAGAGAAUAAUGUUAG